GGUUCAGCGGCGGACGGGUGAGUAACACGUGGGCAACCUGCCCUGCAGAUCGGGAUAACUCCGGGAAACCGGUGCUAAUACCGAAUAGUUUGCGGCCUCUCCUGAGGCUGCACGGAAAGACGGUUUCGGCUGUCACUGCAGGAUGGGCCCGCGGCGCAUUAGCUAGUUGGUGGGGUAAUGGCCCACCAAGGCGACGAUGCGUAGCCGACCUGAGAGGGUGAUCGGCCACACUGGGACUGAGACACGGCCCAGACUCCUACGGGAGGCAGCAGUAGGGAAUCUUCCGCAAUGGACGCAAGUCUGACGGAGCAACGCCGCGUGAGUGAUGAAGGUUUUCGGAUCGUAAAACUCUGUUGCGAGGGAAGAAACCGUGCCAAUUAACUACUGGCACCUUGACGGUACCUCGCCAGAAAGCCACGGCUAUCUACGUGCCAGCAGCCGCGGUAAUACGUAGGUGGCAAGCGUUGUCCGGAAUUAUUGGGCGUAAAGCGCGCGCAGGCGGUCCCUUAAGUCUGAUGUGAAAGCCCACGGCUCAACCGUGG
RNAcentral lists this ribosomal RNA (542 nucleotides) under uncultured Caryophanaceae bacterium. Its description in RNAcentral is "bacterial SSU rRNA". It matches the Rfam family "Bacterial small subunit ribosomal RNA", at positions 89 to 618 of the family's 1533-position model. Lineage: Bacteria; Bacillati; Bacillota; Bacilli; Caryophanales; Caryophanaceae. The record is from RNAcentral.